This 253-nucleotide ribosomal RNA is filed under the name uncultured bacterium. RNAcentral's name for it is "partial 16S ribosomal RNA". It matches the Rfam family "Bacterial small subunit ribosomal RNA", at positions 524 to 776 of the family's 1533-position model. The record is from RNAcentral.
UACGUAGGGCGCAAGCGUUAUCCGGAAUUAUUGGGCGUAAAGAGCUCGUAGGCGGUUUGUCGCGUCUGCCGUGAAAGUCCGGGGCUCAACCCCGGGUCUGCAGUGGGUACGGGCAGACUAGAGUGCAGUAGGGGAGACUGGAAUUCCUGGUGUAGCGGUGAAAUGCGCAGAUAUCAGGAGGAACACCGAUGGCGAAGGCAGGUCUCUGGGCUGUUACUGACGCUGAGGAGCGAAAGCAUGGGGAGCGAACAGG